AACGCGAAGAACCUUACCUACCCUUGACAUGCCAGGAAUUCUGCAGAGAUGCGGAAGUGCCGAAAGGAACCUGGACACAGGUGCUGCAUGGCUGUCGUCAGCUCGUGUUGUGAGAUGUUGGGUUAAGUCCCGUAACGAGCGCAACCCUUAUCCUUAGUUACCAUCAUUAAGUUGGGGACUCUAAGGAGACUGCUGGUGAUGAACCGGAGGAAGGCGGGGACGACGUCAAGUCAUCAUGGCCUUUAUGGGUAGGGCUACACACGUGCUACAAUGGACGGUACAGAGGGCGGCCAACCCGCGAGGGGGAGCCAAUCCCAGAAAGCCGUUCGUAGUCCGGAUCGGAGUCUGCAACUCGACUCCGUGAAGUCGGAAUCGCUAGUAAUCGCGAAUCAGAAUGUCGCGGUGAAUACGUUCCCGGGCCUUGUACACACCGAGACGAC
RNAcentral lists this ribosomal RNA (440 nucleotides) under uncultured bacterium. RNAcentral's name for it is "bacterial SSU rRNA". It matches the Rfam family "Bacterial small subunit ribosomal RNA", at positions 958 to 1398 of the family's 1533-position model. The record is from RNAcentral.